AGAAUAUAUUUUAAUCAACCUUUGUGCAGAUGUAAGGAACCUAUUGAGUGACAGUCUCCAAGUAUUAAGCCACAGAAAGGUCACUCAUGAGCCAUUCAGCCCAUUAAGCUUAACACUUCUUCACAGUUAAGAUUCUUCUUCACAGGGCUUUUGGAGGAAAGAAAGAAUGAAUGAAUGAAUGAAUGAAUGAUGAAAAAAUGAAAGAACGAACAAACAUCACCUCCACACACUGCUGUGAGAAAUAAGCAACCAUUGUGGGUAGUUAUGUGAGUGCCCUGAUGGCCAUGAAAAUUGGUGAUAGAGUGGAAAAGGAAAUUAAGAACAUAUAUCUGGGUCUCAAGAGGGUGAAUGUUAAUGGAUCGUUUUCUUUUCAGGUAGUAGAACUUUUUGUCUUUAGGAAAGUCUGACUCCAUCCAAUAUCAAAACAUGCAGUGCUCUAGAGCCAUUGAAAGUCAGUGUGCCCAGAUACCAGCCCUGCACUAGAUGUGUGACCUUAGGCCAGUUCCGUAACCUCUCUUGGCUAUAGAAUAAAAAUUUCAACUCAACAGAUUGCAAGGUUAAAUAAGAUGAUAUGUGCUGAAAAAAGUGGAAAGAAAACAUGUAAAUAUAUGAAAGUCUAUAUGGGAAAUAAUAUUGAAUAAAAACAGUAAAACCAGUAUAAACCAAAAAUUAAUUUAGCAUAAUAUAAAGCAUUAGACUCUGUAGUCUAUUUGAUUUUGUGUUUGUGUAGUUAGCUGGUUUAUGUAGAGUUAGCUGUGUUUGUAUAAAGUUAACUGGUUAUAAUAAAAAUUGUAACCUAAAAAUCUUUCCAUUUCCUCAGCUCCCACCCCUCCUUCCUCUUGUUCUUCCAUCUUCCUGUCUCCUUUCCCCAAGAGUAAUAAGUGUUAGUUAAGGUCAUGGAACAACCAGACCAGAACUGUCAGGUGGAACACAGUAUAUGAACUGCCUCCAAAGAUGGAGAAUCUAUUUUUCGAACUUGAAGACCAAAGAAAGAAGUUGAGCAUCCCACCAAAAUAAUAGCCAACCUUUUAGCAUCAGCACCAAAAAAUUAAAAAUCACAUUAUUUUCAAACACCAAGUCCAUAUUUUACUUAUCCCCCCACUCCCACUUCUGCCUCAGAUUCACAGACAUUGAAGAUUCAGCAUUUCUUUAGCUUCUGCUACAUAAAAACCCAAAGUCAUAGCCCUAACUUCAAAUCACCUUCUGAAGCAGGUGCCAGGUACAUAGGCUGUAAUGCCAGCCCAGCCCAGGUAUGAAUCCCAGCUCUUUCGACUCACAAGCUCAGCUACCCUGGGAAAGUUACUUCCUUACUGAGUGUCAGAGGUGAAAUGAAGGUUCUAAGUCACAGAGUUAUCAGUGUAUUACCGAGUAGCAAAGGUAGCAGCCUGCAUGCACUAAUACCUGGGAGCAGCCUGCCAGGUGAUUCCAGAAUGGCUGACUUGGGGAGGAGGGCAGGGGAGGUCAGCCUAGGUCUUCUUCCAAGAACGGACAGGCCUUUGACUAUCACCACUACAUUCUGGGAAGCAAGGCCAUGGAAGCAACCCAGAGGUUUCCAGCAAGAGACUGAACACUGAAGCCCAGCUUUCCAACAGUGUGGAACCCUGGCAGGAGAUACAAGUAGUGGCAUGUAAUUCUGUGAACAUCACAUCUUAUUCAACCCCCAAACUUCAAGGCUACUCUUUCCCCUUUCCUAGCAUCCACGCUUAUAUCCUGAUGGGCUACAGAUGCAUAAUGGAGAAUAUCUGCAUCUACUUUCAUCUAAAUCAUGGUAAAGGCUACUGAGACUGCAUUUCCAGAGGGCUUCCAUUCAGAAGGGGCUUUUCAGAUUUGAUCCACAACACAAACAGUUUCAGUGGGAAAAAUGCCAUUUUAUGCUUCUGGAAAAUGGAAGUGUCAUUCUCAGCAUGUGCCCACCAUUACUGUCUCCAUCUUCAAGCCACGUAGAGCCUUGCUUCUGAAGGCUUCUAACAUCCCGUUAUGAGUUUUUCAGCCAGAAACCUAAAAAAGUUCUUCUACAGCCAAUGACAGGUCAGGUUUCCCACCCUAAUUUAGACCACCCCUGCAUUCCAUAGUUCACUGCCUUUCAGCAUUUCUACUUGUGAAGCAGCAACUGAUUCCUGAAAAACGUUUCUUUCACAUGCUGAAAUGUGGUUCAGCAACCAGCUCAGGUCAGUGGAUCUGAUCACCAUCCCUGGCCCAGGUGAAUGCCCUGAGGAGUAGUGACCUCUGCCCACAGGCAGUGGGCACCAACCAGGCAAGGGGCAGUACACGGGCCUCCCUGCUGCCCACCCACACAGCCCAAGCCCCCAGCAGCCCCUGCAGAGCAGGUACCAGCGCCUCGUCCCUUACAAGGGGCAAAGGUCAAGGGGGCUUGAGUAAGGUGGAGCAAAGACUCCUCAAGCAGGGCACAGGCUGGGAAGCAGGUGAGGCGGGGGAGAGGAAGGCUCUUCUGGUUAUAAACAAAAAACCGACAGAUCCAGUAAGCCAGCAGUUUGGAACUGAGUAUCUGAGCCAGACAAUAAGCUUUUAAAACCAUAAAGUACAAGCGCAGCACAACACCCUAUGUCAGAGCUCUGCCCCGGUCUUGUGAAAAGCACCAAGGGCCCCUAAGCAGCCGGGAGGCGCCUAAGUGGCCGGGAGGAGCGUGGGAUGUCCCAAGCGGCUCACCGGAGCAAAGAACACAGACACGCCAGCUAGGAGGUGCAGGCCGGGACAGGCAGCUCAGCCAGGCCUGCCUAAUUGACAAAGGCUCCUAAUGAGUAGGAUAAACACCAUUCGGGGCCAUUUGCUGUGAAAUGGACUAGGGUAGAUGAGAAAUCGCCCUGUAUGGGCAGAAAGCACACACGUCAACAGAAAAUAAUGUGCUGGAAAAGUUUUAAAUUAAAGUGCCAUGCUGAGUGUGCAGAGGCAUUAAUGCUUAUAUAAUUAAUCAUUUCAUAUUUGAAGAUUGGGAUUUUUUUCCCUUUUAAUUAAUUAGCCAGUAGGCUCAUUAGAGUACAUUUUUCAUGUCAAAAAGGCAGUGGAUUCUAAGAGAAGUAAGAAGGGCUGCAGGCCAUAAGUGGUGUCAGGCCUUCUCAUACAAGGUGCUGUGAAAAGCACAGGAAACCACCAUCAUCUCUGCCCAGAAAUUUCCCGGAUAGGGGCUGGGAACCCAGAACUAGUCAAAAUGCAUGGGAUUUAUCCAAGUCCCAAGAAUGCAAGACUUCGCUGGUGCUCACUUUUUCACAAGCUGCAUUUAGCCCUUUUUUCAGGACUGCACUGACCAGAGUUGUGGCUUGCUCGGCCAGUGGAUCUGUCUUUUACUAGAAAGAGGACGGAGCAUGAGAGCUGAAGACUGGGCUCUGCCGACCACUGCUCUGGGUUCCAGCUUGGACUGCACCUUCCUCGCCAGAGACUUUGGGCAGUCACGUAAACCUCCUCAUGCUUCAGUUUACUGCUCUGUACCAUGAAGAUAAAAGCACCUACCUCAGGGCUGUUGAGAGAAGAAAAUGGAAUAAUGUGUAUAAACUGCUUACUUAGGUGCCUAGCACAAACUGAAGACUCAGAAUCGGUAGGCUUUAUUACAAGAAGAGUUGCACUUCUUUGGAAACAGAACACCACCCUUGACUUCUCCACAAACCUGCUUUUUGCACAUGCAGUAAAAUAUGCAUAAAGUUAAAUUUACCUUUUUAACCAUUUUUAAGUGUACACUUCUGUGGCAACAAGGAUUUACAUUGUUGGGCAACCAUCACCACCGUCCAGCCCCACCACAUUUUCACCUACCGCAGAUGGAACUCUGUACCCACUAAACUCCCCAUCCCCCCACCUGCCCCUCAGCC
Manis pentadactyla (Chinese pangolin) is the source of this 3818-nucleotide long non-coding RNA. RefSeq lists it as uncharacterized. The transcript has 3 exons. The record is from RefSeq and is a predicted model, not a curated record. NCBI's taxonomy places the organism in Eukaryota, Metazoa, Chordata, Mammalia, Pholidota, Manidae.